This 240-nucleotide ribosomal RNA is filed under the name uncultured bacterium. RNAcentral describes it as "partial 16S ribosomal RNA". It matches the Rfam family "Bacterial small subunit ribosomal RNA", at positions 524 to 763 of the family's 1533-position model. The record is from RNAcentral.
UACGUAUGGUGCAAGCGUUAUCCGGAUUUACUGGGUGUAAAGGGUGCGUAGGUGGCAUGGCAAGUCAGAAGUGAAAGGCCGGGGCUCAACCCCGGGACUGCUUUUGAAACUGUCAGGCUGGAGUGCAGGAGAGGAAAGCGGAAUUCCUAGUGUAGCGGUGAAAUGCGUAGAUAUUAGGAGGAACACCAGUGGCGAAGGCGGCUUUCUGGACUGAAACUGACACUGAGGCACGAAAGCGUG